CCUACGGGAGGCAGCAGUAAGGAAUAUUGGACAAUGCUCGCAAGAGUGAUCCAGCCAUGCCGCGUGCAGGAAGAAUGCCCUAUGGGUAGUAAACUGCUUUUGAACUAGAGAAAACCCCAGUACGUGUACUGGGCUGAUAGUAUAGUUAGAAUAAGCAUCGGCUAACUUCGUGCCAGCAGCCGCGGUAAGACGAAGGAUGCAAGCGUUAUCCGGAUUCAUUGGGUUUAAAGGGAGCGUAGGUGGACUGAUAAGUCAGUGGUGAAAUCUCCGAGCUUAACUCGGAAAUUGCCAUUGAUACUGUUGGUCUUGAGUACAGUUGCUGUGGGCGGAAUAUGACAUGUAGUGGUGAAAUACAUAGAGAUGUCAUAGAACACCGAUUGCGAAGGCAGCUCACAAAGCUGUAACUGACACUGAGGCUCGAAAGUGCGGGGAUCAAACAGGAUUAGAUACCCUGGUAGUCCGCACCGUAAACGAUGAUUACUCGCUGCUAGGGGGCAACCUUUAGUGGCUUAGCGAAAGCGAAUAAGUAAUUCACCUGGGGAGGUUAGCGGCGACGGAGACGACGAANAGAGUUAGAGGCGNGAGAGNGCGACGGACGACGACGAGGAGUAGG
Molecule: ribosomal RNA, 613 nt
Filed under: uncultured bacterium
Lineage: Bacteria
Description: bacterial SSU rRNA
Rfam family: Bacterial small subunit ribosomal RNA (bases 1-536)
Source: RNAcentral